UUGGUCAUUUAGAGGAAGUAAAAGUCGUAACAAGGUUUCCGUAGGUGAGCCUGCGGAAGGAUCAUUACCUAGAGUUUGUGGACUUCGGUCUGCUACCUCUUACCCAUGUCUUUUGAGUACCUUCGUUUCCUCGGCGGGUCCGCCCGCCGGUUGGACAACAUUCAAACCCUUUGCAGUUGCAAUCAGCGUCUGAAAAAACUUAAUAGUUACAACUUUCAACAACGGAUCUCUUGGUUCUGGCAUCGAUGAAGAACGCAGCGAAAUGCGAUAAGUAGUGUGAAUUGCAGAAUUCAGCGAAUCAUCGAAUCUUUGAACGCACAUUGCGCCCCUUGGUAUUCCAUGGGGCAUGCCUGUUCGAGCGUCAUUUGUACCUUCAAGCUCUGCUUGGUGUUGGGUGUUUUGUCUCGCCUCCGCGCGCAGACUCGCCUUAAAACAAUUGGCAGCCGGCGUAUUGAUUUCGGAGCGCAGUACAUCUCGCGCUUUGCACUCAUAACGACGACGUCCAAAAGUACAUUUUUACACUCUUGACCUCGGAUCAGGUAGGGAUACCCGCUGAACUUAAGCAUAUCAAUAAG
This 575-nucleotide ribosomal RNA is filed under the name uncultured fungus. RNAcentral describes it as "eukaryotic LSU rRNA". The stretch from base 211 to 364 matches the Rfam family "5.8S ribosomal RNA". The record is from RNAcentral. Lineage: Eukaryota; Fungi.